Molecule: non-coding RNA, 71 nt
Organism: Phrynosoma platyrhinos (Desert horned lizard)
Lineage: Eukaryota; Metazoa; Chordata; Lepidosauria; Squamata; Phrynosomatidae
Source: the annotation of a GenBank genome assembly
GCCAGUGUGUUUAGUGGUUUGAAUGUUGGACUGUGACUCUGGAGAACAGGGUUCAAAUCCCUGCGCAGUCA